RNAcentral lists this ribosomal RNA (149 nucleotides) under uncultured bacterium. RNAcentral describes it as "partial 16S ribosomal RNA". It matches the Rfam family "Bacterial small subunit ribosomal RNA", at positions 383 to 524 of the family's 1533-position model. The record is from RNAcentral.
CUGAUCCAGCAAUGCCGCGUGCAGGAUGAAGGCCCUCGGGUUGUAAACUGCUUUUGUCCGGAACGAAAAGCUUCUGGUUAAUACCUGGGAGUCAUGACGGUACCGUAAGAAUAAGCACCGGCUAACUACGUGCCAGCCGCCGCGGUAAU